CUAUACAUGACUCUGCGCAUAUCAAUAAGCGGAGGAAAAGAAACUAACAAGGAUUCCCCUAGUAACGGCGAGUGAAGCGGGAAGAGCUCAAAUUUGAAAUCUUAAAGGGUUUCCCUUUACGAAUUGUAGUUUAAAGAAGUGUUUUCUGUUGAGGUUUUGGUAAAAGUUCUUUGGAAUAGGACAUCAUAGAGGGUGAGAAUCCCGUAUUUGACCUUUACUUUCAACUUUGUGAUACACUUUCAAAGAGUCGGAUUGUUUGGGAAUGCAGUCCAAAAUGGGUGGUAAAUUUCAUCUAAAGUUAAAUAUUGGCGAGAGACCGAUAGCGAACAAGUACCGUGAGGGAAAGAUGAAAAGAACUUUGAAAAGAGAGUUAAACAGUACGUGAAAUUGUCAAAAGGGAAGCGUUUGACACCAGUGUUGUUUUUCUGAAAAUCAAUUAAAGAACUGUUUAUGCUAAGCUGUUUAGACUUUAUCAGCUAACUGUUUAGUUUUGAGCUUUUCUUUAAUGCACUUUUCCAGUUAACAAGUCAACAUCAAUUUCUUUUGCUGUAAAAAAGCUUGAGGAGGGUGGCUUGAGAUUCGUCUUAAGUGUUUAUAGCCUCUUGCCUAUGCAGUCGGAGAGAUUGAGGUCUGCAGCGUAGAUCCUUCGGGGCUAAAUGCAUUUGUGCUAAGUUAUAGCAUUUUAUAGACAACUUGUUGACUAUGAUUUGUCUUGUAGCUUACUCGCUUAUGUUAUUUUACCUACGCUUAGGAUGUUGAUCUACAGAGCGAGAGU
Molecule: ribosomal RNA, 775 nt
Filed under: uncultured Neocallimastigales
Lineage: Eukaryota; Fungi; Neocallimastigomycota; Neocallimastigomycetes; Neocallimastigales
Description: partial large subunit ribosomal RNA
Rfam family: Eukaryotic large subunit ribosomal RNA
Source: RNAcentral